This 469-nucleotide ribosomal RNA is filed under the name uncultured bacterium. RNAcentral's name for it is "bacterial SSU rRNA". It matches the Rfam family "Bacterial small subunit ribosomal RNA", at positions 330 to 793 of the family's 1533-position model. The record is from RNAcentral.
GCCAGACUCCUACGGGAGGCAGCAGUGAGGAAUAUUGGUCAAUGGGCGCGAGCCUGAACCAGCCAAGUCGCGUGAGGGAUGACGGCCCUACGGGUUGUAAACCUCUUUUGCCGGGGAGCAACGGGCGCCACGUGUGGCGCCACUGAGAGUACCCGGAGAAAAAGCAUCGGCUAACUACGUGCCAGCAGCCGCGGUAAUACGUAGGGGGCAAGCGUUAUCCGGAUUCACUGGGUGUAAAGGGAGCGUAGACGGCGACGCAAGUCUGGAGUGAAAGCCCGGGGCCCAACCCCGGGACUGCUCUGGAAACUGCGUCGCUGGAGUACGGGAGGGGCAGGCGGAAUUCCUGGUGUAGCGGUGAAAUGCGUAGAUAUCAGGAGGAACACCGGCGGCGAAGGCGGCCUGCUGGACCGUGACUGACGUUGAGGCUCGAGAGCGUGGGGAGCAAACAGGAUUAGAUACCCGCGUAAAA